RNAcentral lists this ribosomal RNA (772 nucleotides) under alpha proteobacterium SCGC AAA015-N20. RNAcentral describes it as "SSU rRNA". It matches the Rfam family "Bacterial small subunit ribosomal RNA", at positions 59 to 864 of the family's 1533-position model. Lineage: Bacteria; Pseudomonadati; Pseudomonadota; Alphaproteobacteria. The record is from RNAcentral.
CAGUCGAACGGAGACCCGGAGCUUGCUCCGGAAUUCUUAGUGGCGAACGGGUGAGUAACGCGUGGGAAUCUACCUUGAAAUGGGGAACAACUAUUGGAAACGAUAGCUAAUACCGCAUAAUCCCUUCGGGGGAAAGGCUUCGGCCGUUUUUAGAUGAGCCCGCGUUAGAUUAGGCUGUUGGUGAGGUAAUGGCUCACCAAACCUACAAUCUAUAGCUGGUCUGAGAGGAUGAUCAGCCACACUGGGACUGAGACACGGCCCAGACUCCUACGGGAGGCAGCAGUGGGGAAUAUUGGACAAUGGGGGAAACCCUGAUCCAGCAAUGCCGCGUGAGUGAUGAAGGCCUUAGGGUUGUAAAGCUCUUUCAGAAGUGAAGAUGAUGACGGUAACUUCAGAAGAAGCUCCGGCUAACUCCGUGCCAGCAGCCGCGGUAAUACGGAGGGAGCUAGCGUUGUUCGGAAUUACUGGGCGUAAAGAGCGUGUAGGCUGUUAGGUAAGUCAGAGGUGAAAUCCCUAAGCUCAACUUAGGAACUGCCUUUGAUACUAUCUUACUAGAGAUCGAGAGAAGUUGGCGGAAUUCCAAGUGUAGAGGUGAAAUUCGUAGAUAUUUGGAAGAACACCAGUGGCGAAAGCGGCCAACUGGCUCGUUUCUGACGCUAAGACGCGAAAGCGUGGGUAGCAAACAGGAUUAGAUACCCUGGUAGUCCACGCCGUAAACGAUGAGUGCUAGCCGUUUGUGAUUUAUCACAAGUGGUGCAGCUAACGCGUUAAG